AUGGACUACUCCACCUCCCUCCUCCGCCUCACCUUCCUCGCCCUCGGCGCCGCCCUGGUCCUCAUCGUCGCCCGCUCCGCCUUCCGCCUGCCGCUCGCCAUCGACGCCCCGGCCGCCUCCUUCUUGCACGGCGCCGGCGGCUGCACCCGAUUCUCGCCGUGGGCCUGCCGCUCGCCACGAACCGGCAAGGCCCCGCCACGCCGCCCAUCGCACGAGUCCGACGUGCCGCGCCACCCGCUCGACCCGCUCACGGUGACGGAGGUCAACCGCGCGCGCGAGCUCCUCCGAGCGCACCCGCCGUUCGCGUCGGCUCCGUCGGCCCUGGCCGUGCACGCGCUCGCGCUCGACGAGCCGGACAAGCCCGCCGUCCGGCGCUGGCGGAAGGGCGCCCACGCGCUCCCGCCGCGCCGCGCCGUCGCGGUCGUCCGCUUCCAGGGGGAGUCCCACGUGCUCGCCGUCGACCUCGCGGCCGGCAAGGUCGCCCCUCUGCCCGUGCCGGCCUCCGGCUACCCGACGAUGACCAUGGACGAGCAGACCGCCCUCUGCGCGGCGCCGUUCAGAGACCCGGCGUUCAACGCCACCAUCCGGCGCCGCGGCGUGCGCCUGGCCGACGUCGCGUGCCUGCCCAUCUCCCCCGGGUGGUACGGCCCCGCCGAGGACGGCGGCCGCCGGCUCAUCAAAAGCCAGUGCUACUCCACCGAGGGCACCGCCAACUUCUACAUGCGCCCCAUCGAGGGCCUCACCGUGCUCAUCGACAUGGACACCGGGAAGGUCGUCCACAUCUCCGACCGCGGCGCCGGCAUCCCCAUCCCGGCCGCCAAGAACACCGACUACCGCCUUGCCGCCAACGACGACGCCGAUAGAUUCGGGUACCAGACGGUGCGGGCGCCGUCGAUGGAGCCGGCGCCGGAGGGCCCAGGAAUCCAGAUUGAGGACGGGCACACGGUGCGGUGGGCCGGGUGGGAGUUCCACCUCAAGGCGGACGCGCGCGCGGGACUGGUCGUGUCCCGCGCGACGGUGCAGGACCCGGCCACCGGGGCGCGGAGGGAGGUGAUGUACAAGGGCAUGGCGUCGGAGCUGUUCGUGCCGUACAUGGACCCGACGGAGGCGUGGUACUUCAAGACCUACAUGGACGCCGGCGAGUACGGCUUCGGCCUGCAGGCCAUGCCGCUGGUGCCGCUCAACGACUGCCCGCGCCACGCGCGGUACAUGGACGGUGUCUUCGUCGCCGCCGACGGCCGGCCGUACGUCCGGGACAACAUGAUCUGCGUCUUCGAGCGCUACGCCGGCGACAUCGCGUGGCGACACUCGGAGAGCCCCAUCACCGGCAUGGACAUAAGGGAGUCCCGGCCGAAGGUGACGCUGGUGGCGCGCAUGGCGGCGUCGGUGGCCAACUACGACUACAUCGUCGACUGGGAGUUCCAGACCGACGGCCUCAUCCGCAUCAAGGUCGGGCUCAGUGGGAUCCUGAUGGUGAAGGGCACGCCCUACUCCCACAUGAACCAGGUCCAGCAAAACGAGGAGAUGCAUGGCACCCUCCUCUCCGAGAACGUCAUUGGUGUCAUCCAUGACCACUACGUCACCUUCCGCCUCGACAUGGAUGUCGAUGGCGCCGACAACUCCUUCGUCCGCGUGGACAUGGCCCGCCAAGACACCGCGCCUGGCGAGUCCCCACGGAGGAGCUACCUCAAGGCCACACGUCAUGUCGCGAGCACGGAGAAGGACGCCCGGGUCCGGCUGAAGCUCUAUGAGCCGGCCGAGUUCCACAUCAUCAACCCGACGAAGAAGACACGUGUCGGCAACCCCGUGGGCUACAAAGUCGUCCCGGCCGGCACUGCCGGUAGCUUGCUGGACCCCGAGGACCCUCCGCAGAAGAGGGGCGCAUUCACAAACAAUCAGAUUUGGGUCACGCCCUACAACAAGAACGAAGAAUGGGCCGGUGGGCUGUUCGUGUACCAGAGCAAAGGGGAGGACACGCUGGCUACUUGGUCGGAGAGGGACCGUCCGAUCGAGAACAAGGACCUGGUGCUGUGGUACACGUUGGGGUUCCACCACAUCCCUUGUCAGGAGGACUUCCCCAUCAUGCCCACUGUGUCGUCCAGCUUCGACCUCAAGCCAGUCAACUUCUUCGAGAGCAACCCCAUCCUCAAGCAGCGGCCCACCAUGGAAAAGGACCUCCCCGUCUGUGCCGCUACCGCCUAA
RNAcentral lists this ribosomal RNA (2202 nucleotides) under Triticum aestivum (bread wheat). Its description in RNAcentral is "partial small subunit ribosomal RNA". Lineage: Eukaryota; Viridiplantae; Streptophyta; Magnoliopsida; Poales; Poaceae. The record is from RNAcentral.